Chelonoidis abingdonii (Abingdon island giant tortoise) is the source of this 349-nucleotide non-coding RNA. The record is from RefSeq and is a predicted model, not a curated record. NCBI's taxonomy places the organism in Eukaryota, Metazoa, Chordata, Testudines, Testudinidae.
AUAUCCAGAAAAACUGAAAACUAAAGAAAGGAAAGGACACAAUACCCUCUGGAUUUUCCUUCCAUGUACAAAGUAUGCUUACGGAAGCAUUCAGUCAACUCUGAGGAUCAAUGUAUUUGUUCCAUCUAAGGCUGCUGCUGAGCAGCAUGUGAACCCAGGCAAGGCCAUGCAUUUUUUUGCUAGAGCCAUAUUCAUGUUAGAAGCCAUCAAAACAGCUGCCCACACUUCAGAAACAGUGCUUUCUCCAUGAAGUAACAGCUCUCUUCCCUACGGAUUCCAGAUAUCUGUGGAACUGGGGUAAAUGUUCCAUUUUAAGGGUAUCUCAAAGGUGGGAAAGUCUUUCAAAAGG